Molecule: non-coding RNA, 30 nt
Filed under: Mus musculus (house mouse)
Lineage: Eukaryota; Metazoa; Chordata; Mammalia; Rodentia; Muridae
Source: RNAcentral
UACGUAAUUGAUAAGUUUUAUAUUUCCUUU